GCGGGCGUGGUUUAGUGGUAAAACCUCAGCCUUCCAAGCUGAAGAUGCGGGUUCGAUUCCCGCCGCCCGCU
This 71-nucleotide transfer RNA is filed under the name Prochlorococcus marinus subsp. pastoris str. CCMP1986. Its description in RNAcentral is "tRNA-Gly (TCC) (tRNA-Gly-TCC-1-1)". It matches the Rfam family "tRNA". Rfam says of the family: Transfer RNA (tRNA) molecules are approximately 80 nucleotides in length. Their secondary structure includes four short double-helical elements and three loops (D, anti-codon, and T loops). Further hydrogen bonds mediate the characteristic L-shaped molecular structure. tRNAs have two regions of fundamental functional importance: the anti-codon, which is responsible for specific mRNA codon recognition, and the 3' end, to which the tRNAs corresponding amino acid is attached (by aminoacyl-tRNA synthetases). tRNAs cope with the degeneracy of the genetic code in two manners: having more than one tRNA (with a specific anti-codon) for a particular amino acid; and 'wobble' base-pairing, i.e. permitting non-standard base-pairing at the 3rd anti-codon position. RNAcentral also lists the same sequence under 108 other names. The record is from RNAcentral. Lineage: Bacteria; Bacillati; Cyanobacteriota; Cyanophyceae; Synechococcales; Prochlorococcaceae.